UGGAGCUCUUGAGGCCUGGCAU
Molecule: microRNA, 22 nt
Filed under: Bos taurus (domestic cattle)
Lineage: Eukaryota; Metazoa; Chordata; Mammalia; Artiodactyla; Bovidae
Description: bta-miR-2460
Source: miRBase by way of RNAcentral